Molecule: ribosomal RNA, 534 nt
Filed under: uncultured bacterium
Lineage: Bacteria
Description: bacterial SSU rRNA
Rfam family: Bacterial small subunit ribosomal RNA
Source: RNAcentral
AAUAGAUACCCCGGUAGUCCACGCUGUAAACGGUGGGUACUAGGUGUGGGGUCCAUUCCACGGGUUCCGUGCCGUAGCUAACGCUUUAAGUACCCCGCCUGGGAGUACGGCCGCAAGGCUAAAACUCAAAGGAAUUGACGGGGCCCCGCACAAGCGGCGGAGCAUGCGGAUUAAUUCGAUGCAACGCGUAGAACCUUACCUGGGUUUGACAUGGAUCGGGAGCGCUCAGAGAUGGGUGUGCCUCUUUUGGGGUCGGUUCACAGGUGGUGCAUGGCUGUCGUCAGCUCGUGUCGUGAGAUGUUGGGUUAAGUCCCGCAACGAGCGCAACCCUUGUUCACUGUUGCCAGCACGUUAUGGUGGGGACUCAGUGGAGACCGCCGGGGUCAACUCGGAGGAAGGUGGGGAUGACGUCAAGUCAUCAUGCCCCUUAUGUCCAGGGCUUCACGCAUGCUACAAUGGCUGGUACAGAGAGUGGCGAGCCUGUGAGGGUGAGCGAAUCUCGGAAAGCCGGUCUCAGUUCGGAUUGGGGUCUGC